Molecule: long non-coding RNA, 339 nt
Organism: Pararge aegeria (speckled wood butterfly)
Lineage: Eukaryota; Metazoa; Arthropoda; Insecta; Lepidoptera; Nymphalidae
Exons: 4
Source: RefSeq, a predicted model, not a curated record
CCUCGUGUUGCGGAAUGCAGUAAUAAGGCAAUUUAGCGUUUUCAAGAAAUCAAUUGGCACCCAGUGCAAUGAAAAAUGUAGUUGUAAGGAAUCGUGGUUAAUUGGUAGAACGAGAUAGGAAUCGAGUGGUUCUAACUUUUCAUUUGAAAAUGUUCCUUGCGCUUUAUCUCUGUGUGAUUUUUAUGAUAUUGCAAUCUACGCUGUCAUCUUCUAGUUCAAAUGGAGAUCUAUCAAUUUCUAAAGAUUUUGAAUUGGAUGACUUAAUCAAACUGCCCAUGACUGAUACUUCUGAUUCAAUGGAGUCGAAAAAAAGUCUAAAAGAGUAUUAUAGGUGGUUAG